AGACCCCCGGUAGACCACCGGGUACAGAGGCCAGAAAUGCAAGCCCAGCAAUGGGCUCAGUUGACUGGUCCUCAUCGGUCGAGGUCUUGACCAU
This 94-nucleotide ribosomal RNA is filed under the name Deinococcus metallilatus. RNAcentral describes it as "partial 23S ribosomal RNA". It matches the Rfam family "Bacterial large subunit ribosomal RNA", at positions 2831 to 2925 of the family's 2925-position model. Lineage: Bacteria; Thermotogati; Deinococcota; Deinococci; Deinococcales; Deinococcaceae. The record is from RNAcentral.